GUUCUCUUCCAAAGAAGCUGGUCCUUAGCCUGUAUUGCGGAGCAAGCUUUCGGCGACCAGCUGGACCCUGGGCACCCUUCUUCGAACAAUGGCUUUUAAUUCUCAGACUAGAACGUUUAGGAUUACAAAAGAAACUGGUUCUUUUCACCUCCUUAUUCUUGUGAUGUAGCAUUCCGCAUAUAUAUAUAUAUAUAUCCAACUAUCCUAAAAGACACUGCCCUUCAUCAUUCCAUGCCGUUAGACAUUUAUAGGACCAUGCAUGGUGAUCUCCUCCAGACAAAAGUAAAUGCUGGUGCAGAACAGGAUUUCCUUUUUAUCACUGGUUUUGAUGGAUUUGAUUAAGAUGUUCCUUGGUGAAGUUUUCUUCAUGUUUCUUGUUCUUAGAAUAAUCAUAUUUCUGUAAUAUUUGAAGUUUAUGGUUUCCAUGGAGCUUCUAAAUCUUUCAUCCAGUAUGUUUUAAAUAUCUUUGUCUCUCUUCUCCACUACACGCCCUUCAGGGAUUCCAUUUAGCCCU
RNAcentral lists this long non-coding RNA (514 nucleotides) under Pan troglodytes (chimpanzee). Its description in RNAcentral is "lincRNA". The record is from RNAcentral. Lineage: Eukaryota; Metazoa; Chordata; Mammalia; Primates; Hominidae.